CAGUAGCCGCGGUAAUACGAAGGGGGCUAGCGUUGCUCGGAAUGACCGGGCGUAAAGGGCGCGUAGGCGGCGAUCAAAGUCAGGCGUGAAAUUCCUGGGCUCAACCUGGGGGCUGCGUUUGAUACUUGAUUGCUAGAGUGGGGAAGAGGGUCGUGGAAUUCCCAGUGUAGAGGUGAAAUUCGUAGAUAUUGGGAAGAACACCGGUGGCGAAGGCGGCGACCUGGUCCUUGACUGACGCUGAGGCGCGAAAGCGUGGGGAGCAAACAGGAUUAGAUACCCCUGUAGUCCCUGUCUCUUAUAC
This 301-nucleotide ribosomal RNA is filed under the name uncultured bacterium. RNAcentral describes it as "partial 16S ribosomal RNA". It matches the Rfam family "Bacterial small subunit ribosomal RNA", at positions 509 to 807 of the family's 1533-position model. The record is from RNAcentral.